This 433-nucleotide ribosomal RNA is filed under the name uncultured bacterium. RNAcentral's name for it is "partial 16S ribosomal RNA". It matches the Rfam family "Bacterial small subunit ribosomal RNA", at positions 29 to 507 of the family's 1533-position model. The record is from RNAcentral.
AACGAACGCUGGCGGCAGGCCUAACACAUGCAAGUCGAACGAAGUCUUCGGACUUAGUGGCGCACGGGUGAGUAACACGUGGGAAUAUACCUUACGCUGGGGGAUAACAUCGGGAAACUGAUGCUAAUACCGCAUACGCCCUUCGGGGGAAAGAUUUAUCGGCGAAAGAUUAGCCCGCGUCCGAUUAGCUAGUUGGUGAGGUAAUGGCUCACCAAGGCUCCGAUCGGUAGCUGGCCUGAGAGGAUGACCAGCCACACUGGGACUGAGACACGGCCCAGACUCCUACGGGAGGCAGCAGUGGGGAAUAUUGGACAAUGGGCGCAAGCCUGAUCCAGCCAUGCCGCGUGAGUGAUGAAGGCCUUAGGGUUGUAAAGCUCUUUCACCCACGACGAUGAUGACGGUAGUGGGAGAAGAAGCCCCGGCUAACUUCGUG